AUGGUUGGUUAAGUCCCGCAACGAGCGCAACCCUUGUUCUUCAGUUGCCAGCACGUAAAGGUGGGAACUCUGAAGAUACUGCCCCGGUUAACGGGGAGGAAGGUGGGGAUGACGUCAAGUCCUCAUGGCCCUUAUGCCCAGGGCUACACACGUGCUACAAUGGCAUAUACAAAGGGUCGCGAUACCGCGAGGUGGAGCCAAUCCCAUAAAGUAUGCCACAGUUCGGAUUGGAGUCUGCAACUCGACUCCAUGAAGUUGGAAUCGCUAGUAAUCGCAGAUCAGCAUGCUGCGGUGAAUACGUUCCCGGGCCUU
Molecule: ribosomal RNA, 312 nt
Filed under: uncultured Desulfobotulus sp.
Lineage: Bacteria; Pseudomonadati; Thermodesulfobacteriota; Desulfobacteria; Desulfobacterales; Desulfobacteraceae
Description: bacterial SSU rRNA
Rfam family: Bacterial small subunit ribosomal RNA
Source: RNAcentral